AAGUUGUUGUUCGCCGUCACUGAUUGUCAUUGUGGGUCCAAGAUCCCGCCGUGGUGGGUGGGUCAAAAUUUCAUUCGUCAUCAUUGGUUGCCAUUGUUGGUUGAAGUUCUGUUGGUGAAGUUGUCGUUGUUGUUGUCAUUGUGGUUCAAGCUCUCGUCUAUGGUAGGUGAAGCCCUUGUCCUGGUUGGUCCUUUAGGGCUUCGUUGUUGUGGUGGGUUGAUUUAUGUGAAGUUGUUAAGAGG
This 242-nucleotide long non-coding RNA is filed under the name Vigna radiata. RNAcentral describes it as "long non-coding RNA (VRAD_LNC003522)". Lineage: Eukaryota; Viridiplantae; Streptophyta; Magnoliopsida; Fabales; Fabaceae. The record is from RNAcentral.